UACGACGGGGGCUAGCGUUGCUCGGAAUCACUGGGCGUAAAGCGCACGUAGGCGGCUUCUUAAGUCAGGGGUGAAAUCCUGGGGCUCAACCCCAGAACUGCCCUUGAUACUGAGGAGCUUGAGUCAGGUAGAGGUGAGUGGAAGUCUGAGUGUAGAGGUGAAAUUCGUUGAUAUUCGGAAGAACGGCAGUGUCGAAGGCGGCUCACUGACCCGGUACUGACGCUGAUGUGCGAAAGCGUGGGGGGCUAACAGG
RNAcentral lists this ribosomal RNA (253 nucleotides) under uncultured bacterium. RNAcentral's name for it is "partial 16S ribosomal RNA". It matches the Rfam family "Bacterial small subunit ribosomal RNA", at positions 524 to 776 of the family's 1533-position model. The record is from RNAcentral.